Parasteatoda tepidariorum (common house spider) is the source of this 719-nucleotide non-coding RNA. The record is from RefSeq and is a predicted model, not a curated record. Lineage: Eukaryota; Metazoa; Arthropoda; Arachnida; Araneae; Theridiidae.
CUCGGAUAUUGAUAAAAAUUAUUUUUUACAGGUAGAGUUUGCUACUUUUUCUUACUAUACUCGAUCCAUUGUUGUCGUGGAUGAUGUUAGGAUCGUGGAUGGUAGAUGUUCAGAUAUGAAGCCUAUUACAAGUCCAUCUACUACUACUACUUCUGAAUUUACUACAACAAGUACUCCAGAUCCCUUUACCAGUACUUUGUCUACGACGGAAAGUACUCCGAUUCUCUUUACCAGUAAUUUGUCCGCAACAGAAAGUACUCCGGAUCUCUUUACCAGUACUGUGUCUACGAAAGAAAGUACUUCAACUAUUGGUUCGAUUGACGAAGAGAAAACUGGAAAGACUAUGUUCACCAGAGAAGAUUAAAAUACAAAGCCUUCUUUCACGACUAAAGGAACUUCUCUUGAAGAACUAACUACUAGCAAAGACAGUACAAGUCCAUCGAUAUCCACAUUUCAAUUAACAAGUACUUCAAAGCAAGUUACCAGUAACAAGAUUUCAACUCAAAGUACUUCAGCAAUUAGUACGAGUGACAUCGAAAACAUUGGAACAUCGAUCAUCACCAAGGAUGACAAAAAUGAAAAACCCACGACAAUGGCUUCGAUUAUUGAACCAACAACCAAAAAUCAGACGCUUGUGUUUAUUUUUGUUUGCUUUCUGGGAGCUACUUUUUUCAUUGUUCUUGCUGGAGUCGCCUUAUCUGCAGUAACGUAUAAAAGGU